CUCAUGAUGGUUGAGGUGAACAAGGCAGCGUGCUUGAUGACCACGUAGUUGUCUUGCUCGUCAUAGUCUAUGCCUAGCUCGUUCAGGAAAAGAUGUGCCGGCUUCCUCACAACCAUGGCUGAGAAGAGUUGUCCACCUAGCCAGGCACCUCCACCAGGGCUCACUGAUUGCUCAAGUAUGGCCACCUACACAAACCAAGUAAAUUCACAUAAACAACUUAUAACAAGUACAAAUUGGAGAAAAUAGGUAUUGUAAUCAGCAACUAUAAUCUAAUCAAGAACACUUAGCAGUUAGAACAUUGAAUGACUUCCCUGUGAUCAUGAAUGCGUGUACCAGCCAGAGGCAGAUCUAGGAUAAAUUAGGUGUGCUCAAUUAAAUUCAUUGCUAUUUAUAUAUAUAUAUGAUAACCGGGGUGGAGUUUCAAGCCAAACGCCGAACCCAAUAGCUUUUGUUCAAACAGUGUAUUUGAAGUUUAAAAUUCAUCAAAUAUAUGUACAAAUAUUAAAUUUAGAAUCUAGUCGCUAACAUGUGAAGUCGUGUACUAAAAUCCAAAACCCAUAAGAUUGUAAUUAUUGUUCUACCUAUGUAUGCAAACCAAUUUUGAACUUACUUAACUCUAGAUCAUAAAUUGAGGAUAAGAUUAUCACAAAAGCAGUUUCACUGGUUCACAAGUAUAUAAACAACUUUUUUUUUUUAGCAGAGAAAGAGUAUUAUCUUAUUUAAACCAUAGUCUUAAGAUUAAACAUAAACUGGUAGAAGCAGAACCAAUACCAAUUACAGCACAACCCUAGAACUAGACCCACAGUAAGCAAGCAGUAACUGAUAGAUUAAAAUUAAAAACAAAGCCAAAAACGGCGACUUAAAUAUAGAUAAACUAGAUCAUCAUCAACGUCCUCACAUCUAGCAGAGUUGACCACAGUCAGCAAUCACAACAGGCUUGGAGCACCUGCCAGAUCCAGAUCCAACAGCCUCAGCCUUCUUAAUCACAUCAUAGCCUUCAACAACUUGACCGAACACAACAUGCUUGCCAUCGAGCCACUCAGUCUUAGCGGUGCAGAUAUAUAUAAACAACUUUCGCUAAUAAACAUGUGAUUUUUUCUCGCUCAAGUUGCACGAGGCCUAAGGAAAAAGGUGUCACAUGAUUUGUAGGUACGAGUAAACCUUCAAGUACCUUUAAUAAGAAGCCCGUGUUUUUUUUUCCUCUCAGCUACCAAGUCUUAUAUGAAUUUUCUUUUAUACUUUUCAAUUUAGUAGAAAUACAAGCGAAGCCGGAAAAUAAAUUCCAAGAUUUCCAUCUUUCCGCUAUUAGAAUUUAAUUGAAAAUAUCCAUUAGGCACACGUCACAGGUGCCAGUUCUUCUACACAACAAAAGCCUGAGUAUUUAAAUGAAAAAUUAUAGGGAAAGCUAAUCUGGGGCUAAAUGGUUUUGUGAGUCUUUACAAAUUUGUUUUUCAAUUUUAUGACCUUAUCUUUCUAUUUCAGUACGAGGUCUAAAAAAGAUACUUUCUUAACGUAAAGGGCUAUGAUAGCCCAUUUUCCCGCUGAUUUGAACCGUAUGUCACUUCUGUUAGUAUUUCCUUACCAUAAAAUAUUUUAAACUUAAUUGACAAAAUAAACACAAGCCAAUAUUUGAUCUUUCGUGACUUUUGUCUUUUUCUAUCACAAUACUGCCAGACACAUAUAUUAGAGCAUUCUGCAGCAGGCCUAGAUUUAUCUCAUCUUAAAUUUGGAAAAAAAUAAAUAGACACAAAUGAAAAGAAAAAGGAUACCUGAACGUUAGGGUUCUUGCUGAUCUCAUAAGCACAAGAGAGACCAGCAGAGCCAGCGCCAACGAUGACAACAUCAGUGUCAGCAUAGGUGAUCAUGUCAGUCAUGUACCUACGUGUCAUCUCGCGAGAAACGAUGGAUUCCUUAAUUGGGUUAAAACUGAAAGCGUUAAGAUCAUAAGGUGGAGGAGAGGAAUCAGCAGACAUGGAAAUGGUCAUGUUUUGCUGGGCGGAUUUAACAGGUUUUAGUCUAGCUUGUGAAAAAAGAGGGACACCAGAGAAGGAUGAUUUGUGGGUGUCCAAGAAAUUGGUCUUGGUAACAACAGAGGAGGCCAAGGUUGAUGCCAUGGUUGCCAUAGACAAAGCUUGAGAUCUUGAGAGAGGAGUUUUUUUUGAGAAUU
Molecule: long non-coding RNA, 2167 nt
Filed under: Nicotiana tabacum (common tobacco)
Lineage: Eukaryota; Viridiplantae; Streptophyta; Magnoliopsida; Solanales; Solanaceae
Description: long non-coding RNA (NTAB_LNC003870)
Source: RNAcentral